GACGAACGCUGGCGGCGUGCUUAACACAUGCAAGUCGAACGGAAAGGCCCUGCUUUUGUGGGGUGCUCGAGUGGCGAACGGGUGAGUAACACGUGAGUAACCUGCCCUUGACUUUGGGAUAACUUCAGGAAACUGGGGCUAAUACCGGAUAGGAGCUCCUGCUGCAUGGUGGGGGUUGGAAAGUUUCGGCGGUUGGGGAUGGACUCGCGGCUUAUCAGCUUGUUGGUGGGGUAGUGGCUUACCAAGGCUUUGACGGGUAGCCGGCCUGUGAGGGUGACCGGCCACCUUGGGACUGAGAUACGGCCCAGACUCCUACGGGAGGCAGCAGUGGGGAAUAUUGCACAAUGGGCGGAAGCCUGAUGCAGCAACGCCGCGUGCGGGAUGACGGCCUUCGGGUUGUAAACCGCUUUCGCCUGUGACGAAGCGUGAGUGACGGUAAUGGGUAAAGAAGCACCGGCUAACUACGUG
RNAcentral lists this ribosomal RNA (468 nucleotides) under uncultured bacterium. RNAcentral describes it as "partial 16S ribosomal RNA". It matches the Rfam family "Bacterial small subunit ribosomal RNA", at positions 28 to 507 of the family's 1533-position model. The record is from RNAcentral.